ACAGACUGUCAGGCUUGUGUAUAUAUGCUAUGAGAUCUGGGAGUUCAUUUUAAAAGCAGUUUGGCAUUGUUGGAAAAAAAGCUGGGAGUUGAAGUGUGAAGAACAACCUAGGCACUCUUUGACUUUGAUUGCCAGAACUCUUGUCGCAAUGUUCAACAAUGACAACUAAAGACUCCAAGGGGUAAAAGCGAAGCCAUAAACCAUUCCCAGGAAAUCCCGCCAGGUUCCGACACCUUUGAUGAUGUCACUUCCAGUUCUGGUGCUUUUGAUCACAUCACUUCCGGUCCCAGCGCAUCUGAUCAUGUCACUUCCAGUCUCGAAGACGGCACUUCCAGUUCCAGCAUUGACAUCAUUUCCUCUGCUAGCCCUUAAAGCCUCCAUUUUACCUCCGCAUAUUCAGUUCUGUUUUAGACUCGGCCUUGUAAACAAGUCACUCUUUGCAAACCUUUUGCAGCCAGGAUCAAACCUUUGUGAUUGUCUGGGGUCUUUUGUGACAAUACGAAGAAUCUGGGAAGAUUUUCAAAUGUGAGAUGCUGCCGCUACCACCCGAUCAUCAGUGUAGUCAUUCUGAGUACAUGUUGUAGCACCCAGCAGAAUGGGGCGGGGCCUGGCUGUUUGGGGCGGGGCCAUGCAUUGAUGAUGUGCAAUCUCUCUUCCAGUUAUUUGCACACCUGAUGCUGCCAUGUUCAGUCACAGUCCUCACAUUAACCUACUGAGCAGAGUGAAGCCAGGUGUACUUGUGCAUUCACAUACUUUGGUUCGUUCAUUCUGGCACAUGUGUUGCUCGCAUUUUAGGGGACCUGAAGUUUGAACUGUUAUGGUGGCCCCUAUGCAACCAGCAAUGAGGUCUGGGUAACCACAGUUUUCCUCAAUGUGGUUGUUCCACGACAGAUCACAACACCUUUUUGUUUUUUUUAAUUUAACCAUGAGCGACUAGGCUGAUUCCAGGGCUACAGGGGUUGAAUUAUGAGGAAAAAUUAAAAGAGCUGAGCCUUUACAGUUUAAACAAAAGAAGAUUAAGAGGUGACAUGAUUGAAGUGUUUAAAAUUAUGAAGUGAUUUAGUAUAGUGGAUCAAGACUGUUAUUUUAAAAUGAGUUCAUCAAGAACACGGGGACACAGUUGGAAACUUGUUAAGGGUAAAUUUCACACAAACAUUAGAAAGUUUUUCUUUACACAAAGAACGAUAGACACUUGGAAUAAGCUACCAAGUAGUGUGGUAGACAGUAAGAUGUUGGGGACCCCCACUCCAGAUAGGCUGGGCAUGCAAUGGGUGUCAAAAAAGGGGGUAAAAUCAAUACACAAAACAUUAGCAACAUCCUAUACAACAAGGGCUCACCAAAAUUGACCAUUGCUUUGCAAAGAUAGGCAUUUUGUAAUAGUGACAGCCUUUAAGGUAUAAUCUAUGCCAAUUUGAAAUGAUCCUUCAUUCAUCUGUAACCCUCACACAUACUGGGCCAUCAUUUUAACAGAAUGGCUUUUCCAGCACCACUAUAGAAUUUAAUUUCAGUUCACUUUGUACACAUGACAAUUAUAAGCCUAAUAAUCUGUAAUGCAUUAAGUUAUGGUAAAAACUAAACAGAACGCUGAAUAACAGAAAAUUCUGUUAUUGAUAACCUUUCCUCUGUAAAUUUCCAACUCAAAAUGUUGAUAUGUAUUACUAUGAUUGAGAAUUUAAAAACCUGACAUGCCCCCAUUAAAAUGAUGAAUUUGACUAAUAAACUGUAAUACUUUGCCAUCUAAGACUAAGGUUUCAUUUUAAAAAAGCAAAGCUGUGGUUUCUGUCUUUAAUACAAUUGCAGUUGAUAUUUCCUAUUUACCACAUUUCAACCGAUGAGACUCUUCUGCAUUGUGAGAGUUGAAAUUGUCCUUUUCCACAGCAGUUACUCAUUUCCUUUUAUUUGUAUAGCUGUUGGCCUAGAGUAAAAAAAAAAUUGUAUUAAUCAUAAAAAUGGAGCCUAAUUAUACAAGAGCUUAGUGUAUUAGCAUAAAUUACGUGGGCGGAUUGUAGAUAGCAUUAUCACUGGGAUAUGUUCUCAUAACUAAAUAUCAAAUUGCUGUCAAUUUCAUGGUCUUAAUUGCUCACACUACCAAUGUACAAUGUCAUAAGCAUCAAAUGGAUAUACAUAAUAAAUUACAUUUCCAGCAUUUGUGAAAGUUUGUUUUGUUAACUUUGUAAUGUGAAGAUAAUAAUGACAACUUUUUUUCAUCAAUUGUUAAUAUUAUAUUUCAGAAAACAGUUUAUUUAUAAUGUGCAGUACCAUGAAAAAGUAUUUGCCCCCUUCUUGGUUUGAUCUAUUAUUACAUAUAUUUAAUACUGAACGUUUAUUUGUCUUCAACCCAAAAUC
Molecule: long non-coding RNA, 2346 nt
Organism: Erpetoichthys calabaricus (reedfish)
Lineage: Eukaryota; Metazoa; Chordata; Cladistia; Polypteriformes; Polypteridae
Exons: 3
Source: RefSeq, a predicted model, not a curated record